UUUGUAGAAUGAACCGGCGAGUUACGAUUUGAUGCAAGGUUAAGCAGUAAAUGUGGAGCCGUAGCGAAAGCGAGUCUGAAUAGGGCGUUUAGUAUUUGGUCGUAGACCCGAAACCAGGUGAUCUACCCUUGGUCAGGUUGAAGUUCAGGUAACACUGAAUGGAGGACCGAACCGACUUACGUUGAAAAGUGAGCGGAUGAACUGAGGGUAGCGGAGAAAUUCCAAUCGAACCUGGAGAUAGCUGGUUCUCUCCGAAAUAGCUUUAGGGCUAGCCUCAAGUGAUGAUUAUUGGAGGUAGAGCACUGUUUGGACGAGGGGCCCCUCUCGGGUUACCGAAUUCAGACAAACUCCGAAUGCCAAUUAAUUUAACUUGGGAGUCAGAACAUGGGUGAUAAGGUCCGUGUUCGAAAGGGAAACAGCCCAGACCACCAGCUAAGGUCCCAAAAUAUAUGUUAAGUGGAAAAGGAUGUGGCGUUGCCCAGACAACUAGGAUGUUGGCUUAGAAGCAGCCAUCAUUUAAAGAGUGCGUAAUAGCUCACUAGUCGAGUGACACUGCGCCGAAAAUGUACCGGGGCUAAACAUAUUACCGAAGCUGUGGAUUGUCCUUUGGACAAUGGUAGGAGAGCGUUCUAAGGGCGUUGAAGCAUGAUCGUAAGGACAUGUGGAGCGCUUAGAAGUGAGAAUGCCGGUGUGAGUAGCGAAAGACGGGUGAGAAUCCCGUCCACCGAUUGACUAAGGUUUCCAGAGGAAGGCUCGUCCGCUCUGGGUUAGUCGGGUCCUAAGCUGAGGCCGACAGGCGUAGGCGAUGGAUAACAGGUUGAUAUUCCUGUACCACCUAUAAUCGUUUUAAUCGAUGGGGGGACGCAGUAGGAUA
RNAcentral lists this ribosomal RNA (874 nucleotides) under Staphylococcus aureus. RNAcentral describes it as "partial 23S ribosomal RNA". It matches the Rfam family "Bacterial large subunit ribosomal RNA", at positions 607 to 1484 of the family's 2925-position model. The record is from RNAcentral. Lineage: Bacteria; Bacillati; Bacillota; Bacilli; Caryophanales; Staphylococcaceae.